UGGUCAAGUUAUUAAGGGUGCAGGGCGGAUGCCUUGGCACUAGGAGCCGAUGAAGGACGUGAUAAGCUGCGAUAAGCUUCGGGGAGUUGCACGUAAACUUUGAUCCGAAGAUUUCCGAAUGAGGAAACUCACUUAGAGUAAUGUCUAAGUAUCAUUAAGUGAAUACAUAGCUUAAUGAGGGGAACUCAGGGAACUGAAACAUCUAAGUACCUGAAGGAAGAGAAAGAAAUUCGAUUCCGUAAGUAGCGGCGAGCGAACGCGGAUUAGCCCAAACUAAUAAAGUUUUCUUUAUUGGGGUUGCGGACAUAUCAUAACGAAGAGGUAUCGUAAUUGAAGAGGUUUGGAAAGACCCACCACAGAAGGUAAUAGUCCUGUAUGUUAAACGAGAAGACUUUAGAUAUGAUCCAGAGUACCACGGGACACGUGAAACCCUGUGGGAAGCAGGAGGGACCACCCUCCAAGGCUAAAUACUACCUAGUGACCGAUAGCGUAUAGUACCGUGAGGGAAAGGUGAAAAGAACCCCGGGAGGGGAGUGAAAUAGAACCUGAAACCCUGCACUUACAAGCUGUGGAAGCACAUUUCUUGUGUGACCGCGUACUUUUUGUAGAACGGGCCAACGAGUUACGUUAAGUAGCAAGGUUAAGCACUUAAGGUG
This 656-nucleotide ribosomal RNA is filed under the name Clostridioides difficile. RNAcentral's name for it is "bacterial LSU rRNA". It matches the Rfam family "Bacterial large subunit ribosomal RNA", at positions 1 to 660 of the family's 2925-position model. Lineage: Bacteria; Bacillati; Bacillota; Clostridia; Peptostreptococcales; Peptostreptococcaceae. The record is from RNAcentral.